Molecule: ribosomal RNA, 512 nt
Filed under: uncultured bacterium
Lineage: Bacteria
Description: partial 16S ribosomal RNA
Rfam family: Bacterial small subunit ribosomal RNA
Source: RNAcentral
GAUGAACGCUGGCGGCGUGCCUAAUACAUGCAAGUCGAACGAAACUUCUUUAUCACCGAGUGCUUGCACUCACCGAUAAAGAGUUGAGUGGCGAACGGGUGAGUAACACGUGGGCAACCUGCCCAAAAGAGGGGGAUAACACUUGGAAACAGGUGCUAAUACCGCAUAACCAUAGUUACCGCAUGGUAACUAUGUAAAAGGUGGCUAUACUACCGCUUUUGGAUGGGCCCGCGGCGCAUUAGCUAGUUGGUAGGGUAAAGGCUUACCAAGGCAAUGAUGCGUAGCCGAAUUGAGAGGUUGAUCGGCCACAUUGGGACUGAGACACGGCCCAAACUCCUACGGGAGGCAGCAGUAGGGAAUCUUCCACAAUGGGCGAAAGCCUGAUGGAGCAACGCCGCGUGGGUGAAGAAGGUCUUCGGAUCGUAAAACCCUGAUGUUAGAGAAGAAAGUGCGUGAGAGUAACUGUUCACGUUUCGACGGUAUCUAACCGGAAAGCCACGGCUAACUACGUG